CCUACGGGAGGCAGCAGUAGGGAAUCUUCCACAAUGGGCGAAAGCCUGAUGGAGCAACGCCGCGUGGGUGAAGAAGGUCUUCGGAUCGUAAAACCCUGUUGUUAGAGAAGAAAGUGCGUGAGAGUAACUGUUCACGUUUCGACGGUAUCUAACCAGAAAGCCACGGCUAACUACGUGCCAGCAGCCGCGGUAAUACGUAGGUGGCAAGCGUUAUCCGGAUUUAUUGGGCGUAAAGGGAACGCAGGCGGUCUUUUAAGUCUGAUAGGAAAGCCUUCGGCUUAACCGGAGUAGUGCAUUGGAAACUGGGAGACUUGAGUGCAGAAGAGGAGAGUGGAACUCCAUGUGUAGCGGUGAAAUGCGUAGAUAUAUGGAAGAACACCAGUGGCGAAAGCGGCUCUCUGGUCUGUAACUGACGCUGAGGUUCGAAAGCGUGGGUAGCAAACAGGAUUAGAUACCCCAGUAGUC
RNAcentral lists this ribosomal RNA (465 nucleotides) under uncultured bacterium. RNAcentral's name for it is "partial 16S ribosomal RNA". It matches the Rfam family "Bacterial small subunit ribosomal RNA", at positions 338 to 795 of the family's 1533-position model. The record is from RNAcentral.